GAGUUUGAUCAUGGCUCAGAUUGAACGCUGGCGGCAUGCUUUACACAUGCAAGUCGAACGGGGUGAGGGGGCAACUCCUCAUUCAGUGGCGAACGGGUGAGUAAUGCAUCGGAACGUGUCCCGUAGUGGGGGAUAACGCCGCGAAAGCGGCGCUAAUACCGCAUACGCUCUAUGGAGGAAAGCAGGGGACCCGCGAGGGCCUUGUGCUAGGGGGCGGCCGAUGUCCGAUUAGCUGGUUGGUGGGGUAAUGGCCUACCAAGGCGACGAUCGGUAGCUGGUCUGAGAGGAUGAUCAGCCACACUGGAACUGAGACACGGUCCAGACUCCUACGGGAGGCAGCAGUGGGGAAUCUUGCGCAAUGGGCGAAAGCCUGACGCAGCGACGCCUCGUGAGUGAUGAAGGCCUUCGGUUGUAAG
RNAcentral lists this ribosomal RNA (416 nucleotides) under uncultured beta proteobacterium. Its description in RNAcentral is "bacterial SSU rRNA". It matches the Rfam family "Bacterial small subunit ribosomal RNA", at positions 9 to 429 of the family's 1533-position model. The record is from RNAcentral. Lineage: Bacteria; Pseudomonadati; Pseudomonadota; Betaproteobacteria.